UACGAAGGGGGCUAGCGUUGCUCGGAAUCACUGGGCGUAAAGGGUGCGUAGGCGGGUCUUUACGUCAGGGGUGAAAUCCUGGAGCUCAACUCCAGAACUGCCUUUGAUACUGAAGAUCUUGAGUUCGGGAGAGGUGAGUGGAACUGCGAGUGUAGAGGUGAAAUUCGUAGAUAUUCGCAAGAACACCAGUGGCGAAGGCGGCUCACUGGCCCGAUACUGACGCUGAGGCACGAAAGCGUGGGGAGCAAACAGG
Molecule: ribosomal RNA, 253 nt
Filed under: uncultured bacterium
Lineage: Bacteria
Description: partial 16S ribosomal RNA
Rfam family: Bacterial small subunit ribosomal RNA
Source: RNAcentral